ACUGAAUGCCUGAUGGCAUCCUUAGUCCAACCAUUGCCCUUACUGAGGUCCCAAAAGCUUCAAUUAUAAAAAUAAAAAAUAUAAGGGGCAAAAAAGAAGUUUGUAGGGUAGGAAAUUUAAGUAUCUAGUUUCUAGGUCUGGACCCAGAGUGAUAUCACAUAUCCUUUCACCAAACAAUCUGAUGUAAUCCUUUAUCUUGUUGUGCCACAUCAGUGGUCACUCUAGAACAGGGGUCUGCAACCUGCGGCUCCGGAGCCGCAUGCGGCUCUUUCAGCCUUAUACUGCGACUCCGUGUGGCCUG
Long non-coding RNA from Sphaerodactylus townsendi, 301 nucleotides. RefSeq lists it as uncharacterized. The record is from RefSeq and is a predicted model, not a curated record. The transcript has 3 exons. NCBI's taxonomy places the organism in Eukaryota, Metazoa, Chordata, Lepidosauria, Squamata, Sphaerodactylidae.